GAACAGGAACCCACGUGAUGCAAGAAGAGAAGCCCUAUUAAAAGCAGCGAGCCUUUAGUGUCAGAGGGCGUGGACUCGGUUUUAACGUUUUCUUGAAUAAUUUGGAAGCGGAGCGAAGGAAAGCAAAAUCACUGAACACAGGUGCUUGUGAAUUCAUUUUGGAAUUUAUUUUUCUUUUAAUCUUAUGGAAUACCUUAAAUCCAUAUACUUGCCAGCUACAAACUCAAAAUCAGACCACCUGGCAUACUGAAAACUGAUAGCAACGCCCAGGAGGACGACUACAGUAGGCUUCCGCAAUGGCCCUCCCAGCCAUGUCUGAAACCCCAGGAGCAUCCUCAAGAGUCUGCAAAACCCAGUUCUUAACUCGCUUCCUUUAGAGCCAAUAACAUGUAAACUGUGAGAAUAAAACACACUCUGAAACCAACUUUUGCCCCCAUGCCCCCAUGCCAGAGAACAACAUCUGAAUAUACUUGUCAUUAAACAGACAUUCUGCUAAAAAAGCAAUGAAGGGAGAGGUGUUGGAUUCAAAGAUUCAGCCUCUACUUAUCUAUUGCAACAAUAAAUUGCACAUUUAUCUAACAUCUUUCCUUUCUUCGGGCCUCUGCUCCCACUAAUUUGCUAGGUCUUGAAAGGCAAACACAAUCCACUGCCUUUGAAAAUGGCUUUUAACUGUGCGACAAUUUUGGGUAGAAAAAGCAGGAGCAUCAGAAACUGCUCGUGCUGCUUUGGGAUAGGAGAAGGUGGGAGUAAUUGAUUAUCUCCUUAUUCCCCAAACCUCAAUCACACCCAACCAGUGGUGAGAUUCAAAUAAUUUAACAACCACUUCUCUGCCCUAAUGACUGUUUUAAGUAUAAAAAAAUGAUAUACCAAAAGGUAGUUUAUUAUUUCUUGCAUUUAAUACUUAAAUAAGAAUAAAAGAGAUACACAAUUGUUAUAAUAAUUUUAAAAUAUUAAUGAAAAAAUAUUAAUACCUGACAAAAACAAUAAAACUGUUAAAAAUAUUUCAAUAUUGCUUUUUGAUUGGCGUCCUUACUUGCAAUUGUCUUUGAUUUUAUCUGAGCAUUAUUGGCUGUGUGAUUUAUCCUUAACUAUCUUUUGACUGUAGGAAUAGGAUCCCAUUCCUUUAGAGGUAGGCCAAUUAGGCUAAUAGUCAUUGAGUUUGAUGUAUUAGAAACAGGUGACUUCUCUGAACAUAUGUUUAUCUUUGAAAAACACCUUUCCACUUCUGCUGAACUUACAGCAAUUGUUCUGACAAUAUUUUAACUCUUUGAACACUUUCAGGAAUUGAAUAGUUCUGGGAAUUUUUUAAAAUGUUUUCCAUGAAAUCUUGAUAAUCAUUAAUAUCAAUUUGGUAAUUAACAAUGUCAUUAAAUAUGAGCAAUUGUUCUUCAACUGCUUUCCAUGGAAUUAAUACUUCUUCAAUAUUCCAGUAGUCUGGCUCCAAAAAUUGAGAAAUUGUAAUUUAUUCCUAUCGUGAAAUUGGCUACAAUCUGCCUUUAAAUGUUCACAAUCCAUUAGUCUUUUUUUCAAAUUCAUUAUAUUUUCUAAAGUCUUUCCCAAGGAAGCCCAAUAACUUGAUGAUUUUCUGCAAAUUUUAUAUUUUUGAAGGUUUCUAAAGUAAUUAAUUCAUCAACUUUCUUUUCAUAUGGACCCUUUUCCUUUCCAAACAUUUGAAAUGCUUUAAUAGA
Molecule: long non-coding RNA, 1688 nt
Organism: Crotalus tigris (Tiger rattlesnake)
Lineage: Eukaryota; Metazoa; Chordata; Lepidosauria; Squamata; Viperidae
Exons: 3
Source: RefSeq, a predicted model, not a curated record